AGAGUUUGAUCCGUGGCUCAGAGUGAACGUUGGCGGCGUGGAUUAGGCAUGCAAGUCGAGCGAUCGUAGCAAUACGGGAGCGGCAAACGGGGUAGGAAUACAUCGGAACGUACCUUUUGGUUGAGAAUAGCGUUGGGAAACUGACGGUAAUACUCAAUAAAGUCGAGAGACCAAAGGUUUACUGCUGGAAGAGCGGCCGAUGCGAUAUUAGGUAGUUGGUGGGGUAAAUGGCCUACCAAGCCUGAGAUGUCUAGGGGGUGUGAGAGCAUGGCCCCCACCACUGGGACUGAGAUACUGCCCAGACACCUACGGGUGGCUGCAGUCGAGGAUCUUCGUCAAUGGGCGAAAGCCUGAACGAGCGACGCCGCGUGCGGGAUGAAGGCCCUUGGGUUGUAAACCGCUGUCAGGGGGGAUGAAACCGUAAGGUUGACAGAGCCCCAGAGGAAGCACGGGCUAAGUUCGUG
This 464-nucleotide ribosomal RNA is filed under the name uncultured bacterium. RNAcentral describes it as "bacterial SSU rRNA". It matches the Rfam family "Bacterial small subunit ribosomal RNA", at positions 8 to 507 of the family's 1533-position model. The record is from RNAcentral.